Molecule: long non-coding RNA, 263 nt
Filed under: Homo sapiens (human)
Lineage: Eukaryota; Metazoa; Chordata; Mammalia; Primates; Hominidae
Description: non-protein coding lnc-USP32-2:15
Source: RNAcentral
GCGUGCGGUGCUGACACCAAAAUGGAGGUCCCGUGUUUCUGAGAGUCUCUUUCAGAGCAAUGCAAACCUGAAACUACUCCUGCCAAGAAACGAUUGCAGCUCUUCCCGGAAAAGUUAAAGCCUUUGAGAAACAAAGCUGAGGUUGAAAGUAUUAGUCCAUUUUAUAGAUGAAGAAAUGGAGGCCCAGAGAGAUCACGUGACUUAGCCAAGUCCACCAACAUGCUGGACCACAUCAAGUUCAGAAGCUUCUGAACAGCGAAGGA